This 1351-nucleotide long non-coding RNA is filed under the name Ananas comosus (pineapple). RNAcentral describes it as "long non-coding RNA (ACOM_LNC029524)". Lineage: Eukaryota; Viridiplantae; Streptophyta; Magnoliopsida; Poales; Bromeliaceae. The record is from RNAcentral.
UGGAUUUCUUUGAUAUUUUUUUAAAAACACUUUAGGAGAUAUUUAAAAUAUAUAUUAAUUAAAUAGGAUAAUUGUUUAUGUAUUUUUAAAAUAUUUUCGACUUUCUUGUUUACCUCUCUUAGAAGGCUAAUAUUGAAAAGGAUUAAUUACAUACAACUCUCUGUAAAUAUAGCGAGUUGAAAAUAUAUUCCUAUAAAGUUUAACUUUCUUAUUUUAUUCCUGCAAAAAUUCUAAUGUUUUCAAAUAUGCCCUACCAUCAGGAUUCAUUAGAAAAAUUUAGUUAGUCAUUGGUAAAAUAUUUAAUCUAGAUUAAUCAAUGAGAUAAAUUGAUAUUUUUAUCCCUUUUAUAUUCUACCUUCAUCUCUCAAUCAAAAUCCUAGAAAUGAGAACUCUUCUUCUUCUUCUUCUUUUUUCUCUUUCUCUUCCUCUCUCUCCUUCAUAUAUGUUAGUCUCCAACCAGUAAUUAGAACAUCUUCGUCCCUAUUCAUCCACUACGUGUGUUGCUUCGGCGCCCAUGCCGAAUGCCUGUUGCUUCUCCAUUCAAUUUUUUCUAUAAUUUUUUCUUAUUUUGCUCAAAAAAACAGUUUAGGAGAAAGGGAGAGAGAAAAAGUUACAACAAUAGUGGAUUAAGUUAGUUUUUUAAAAAGAAGAAGAUAAUUAAGGAAGACGACUAUCGGAAAUUUUUAGGGGGACAUUUCUGUACGAUUAUAGCAGUUGAGGCCUCUGGAGAGAUAUAUAUUGGUGAUGACAAAAUUGACAUUUCACUUAUCUACUGUUAAAAACUAAACAAUUCUCUAACGGUAACAAACUAGAGGAACAAAUAUGAAUAUUACUGGACUUUUGUGAAGAUAACAUAAGAAAGUUGAGCUUUGUAGGGAUAUAUUUAUAAUUCGUCAAACAUGACAGAGAAUUGUAUUCAAUUAACCUUAUUAAAAAUAUUCUUUUAAUGUUCUAAGUUAUUUCAAAUGUAUUUCUAGAGUUAAAUUUUGUUUAUUAACUGUUAGGAACAACUGUUAUCUCUAUAAAAUUACUAUUUCCCCUUUCAAAUAUACCAACUUUUUAUAUUUGCCCUUAAGUCAGGAAAAAAUAAAGUAUUAUGACUUUUUGCCUUUUCAAAUAUGCUCUUUUACUGUCGCCAACUUUUCUUAUUUGCCCUUAAGUUAGGGACAAAAGAGGUAUUUUGACUUUUUUUUUUUAAAUUCUAAUAGAAAUUUAAUAUGGAUUUAACCUGACAUGAUUUAACAAAUACUAAUAGCUGGAUUAUUUUUGAAUAACGGAGAAAUAUAUGAGGGGUAUAUUUGAAAAAGGGUAUAUAAAAUAUUUCAAAAGUUUGGAAUAUAUUAGAUAUUAU